GUCCCAAGGGUUGGUCUUUUCGCCCCUUCAAGCUUUACGCGAGCUGGGUUCAGMACGUCKUGAGACAGUUCGGUCCCUAUCCGUCGCGGGCGCAGGAAAUUUGAGAGGAGCUGUCMUUAGUACGAGAGGACCGGGAUGGACGCACCGCUGGUGUACCAGUUGUCCCGCCAGGGGCACCGCUGGGUAGCUAUGUGCGGACGGGAUAAGCGCUGAAAGCAUCUAAGCGUGAAGCCCCCCUCAAGAUGAGAUUUCCCACCGCGUGAAGCGGGUAAGAUCCCUCGAAGAUGACGAGGUCGAUAGGUCCGAGGUGGAAGCGUGGCGACACGUGGAGCUGACGGAUACUAAUCGAUCGAGGGCUUAACCUAG
This 366-nucleotide ribosomal RNA is filed under the name Geobacillus sp. LEMMY01. Its description in RNAcentral is "bacterial LSU rRNA". It matches the Rfam family "Bacterial large subunit ribosomal RNA", at positions 2562 to 2925 of the family's 2925-position model. Lineage: Bacteria; Bacillati; Bacillota; Bacilli; Caryophanales; Anoxybacillaceae. The record is from RNAcentral.